Non-coding RNA from Pelobates cultripes (western spadefoot toad), 213 nucleotides. Lineage: Eukaryota; Metazoa; Chordata; Amphibia; Anura; Pelobatidae. The record is from the annotation of a GenBank genome assembly.
GGGGGACAAAGACACGCAGAGGCAAAGAAACAAACUAGGGGGAACAGACACACAGAGGGGCUAAGGGGGGCAGAAGGGCUUAGAGAGAAAAAGACACACAUACAGGAGCUUGGAGGAUAAAGACAAUUAAAUAAAUUGUAUCAUUUUAGCUCUAUAUUUAUGAAAAAUAUCCCUUAUUAAAGAAAGAAAUGUUUACCUUAAUCUAAUGUCCAC